GUAGGGAAUAUUGGGCAAUGGUCGGAAGACUGACCCAGCCAUGCCGCGUGUAGGAAGACGGCCCUCUGGGUUGUAAACUGCUUUUAUCUGGGAAGAAAAAGGCCAUGCGUGGCAAAUUGCCGGUACCAGAUGAAUAAGCACCGGCUAACUCCGUGCCAGCAGCCGCGGUAAUACGGAGGGUGCGAGCGUUGUCCGGAUUUAUUGGGUUUAAAGGGUGCGUAGGCGGCUGAUUAAGUCAGCGGUGAAAGACUUCGGCUUAACCGGAGCAGUGCCGUUGAUACUGGUUGGCUUGAGUGUCGGAGGGGUACAUGGAAUUGAUGGUGUAGCGGUGAAAUGCAUAGAUACCAUCAGGAACACCGAUAGCGAAGGCAUUGUACUGGCCGACAACUGACGCUGAUGCACGAAAGUGUGGGGAUCGAACAGGAUUAGAAACCCGGGUAGUCC
Molecule: ribosomal RNA, 444 nt
Filed under: uncultured bacterium
Lineage: Bacteria
Description: partial 16S ribosomal RNA
Rfam family: Bacterial small subunit ribosomal RNA
Source: RNAcentral